AAUUUAAUUUAAGGUACUUAAGGAGGAAGCUAGUCUGGGGUACAUUUUGUAAGAGCUAGUUUGGAGGACCUUUGUUAUUGUGCUAUUGCAGCUGGAAUGCCGCGGUUUUGGAGUCAUCAAGUUGCAAUUAGAUAAGUAUUAUAUUUUAAAUAUAUAUUUCCCAGUAAUAGCUUGUGUUCCCUUGUUUCAAUAGUUAGAGUCUUUGAAGCUGGAGCUGCGUGCUUGACGUCAGCAGGAUGGAGCCGUCCACUAGCAUCUGCUACUUUGUCUGUCCGGUUUGUUAUUAUUUAUGUGUUCUUGAGUAAUCUUUGUAUCGCAUUCUUAUUUAUUUUCCUUUCAUUACAGGUUAGGAGAGAAUUCGUCGAAG
This is a long non-coding RNA of Drosophila mauritiana, 367 nucleotides long. RefSeq lists it as uncharacterized. The transcript is spliced from 3 exons. Lineage: Eukaryota; Metazoa; Arthropoda; Insecta; Diptera; Drosophilidae. The record is from RefSeq and is a predicted model, not a curated record.